GCAAUGUCUGCUGUCUCCCUGUCCUUCUGCACCAGGCAGUAGUGUACCUCAGGAAGUGCCCUUAGUUUCUCUGCAGCCUGGAAAGGAGACAAAGGGCAAUUAAGGAGGGUAAGAAGGCUAAGAACUCCUUGGGGAUCAGGGCCUUGUUCUCUCCCACCUUCCUGAGUAGUUCUUGGCGACUGUACUCCAUCAGUAGGGGUUCGCCAUGCUGCUUGUGAUAGGACUGCUGAGACCGCUCCUCACGCCGAGCAAUAUCUGGCAGGAAACUGCUGGCCCACACCUAUCAGAAGACAGGAGAAGAUAAGAGCAUGAAAGGAGACCACCUCACAGACCUGUACCCAAGCAUACUGGGCACCCAACUCCUCUGUGACUGAGGCCCAUGAAUCGAUGACAGCCCGGAUCUCAGGGACCGACAUGAGAGGCAGCGUCACAUCCGACCAAGGGUGGAAGCAC
Heterocephalus glaber (naked mole-rat) is the source of this 453-nucleotide non-coding RNA. The record is from RefSeq and is a predicted model, not a curated record. NCBI's taxonomy places the organism in Eukaryota, Metazoa, Chordata, Mammalia, Rodentia, Bathyergidae.